This 492-nucleotide ribosomal RNA is filed under the name uncultured bacterium. RNAcentral's name for it is "partial 16S ribosomal RNA". It matches the Rfam family "Bacterial small subunit ribosomal RNA", at positions 29 to 507 of the family's 1533-position model. The record is from RNAcentral.
AGUGAACGCUGGCGGUAGGCCUAACACAUGCAAGUCGAACGGCAGCACAGUAAGAGCUUGCUCUUACGGGUGGCGAGUGGCGGACGGGUGAGGAAUACAUCGGAAUCUACUUUUUCGUGGGGGAUAACGUAGGGAAACUUACGCUAAUACCGCAUACGACCUACGGGUGAAAGCAGGGGAUCUUCGGACCUUGCGCGAUUGUAUGAGCCGAUGUCGGAUUAGCUAGUUGGCGGGGUAAAGGCCCACCAAGGCGACGAUCCGUAGCUGGUCUGAGAGGAUGGUCAGCCACACUGGAACUGGAGCACGGUCCAGACUCCUACGGGGAGCAGCAGUGGGGAAUAUUGGACAAUGGGCGGAAACCUGAUCCAACCAUACCGCGUGGGUGGAGAAGGCCUUCGGGUUGUAAAGCCCUUUUGUUGGGAAAGAAAAGCAGCAGGUUAAUACCCCGCUGUUCUGACGGUACCCAAAGAAUAAGCACCGGCUAACUUCGUG